GGCGAGUGGCGAACGGGUGAGUAAUGUAUCGGAACGUACCUUUCAGUGGGGGAUAACGUAGCGAAAGUUACGCUAAUACCGCAUAUUCUGUGAGCAGGAAAGCAGGGGAUCGCAAGACCUUGCGCUGAUUGAGCGGCCGAUAUCAGAUUAGCUAGUUGGUGAGGUAAAGGCUCACCAAGGCGACGAUCUGUAGCGGGUCUGAGAGGAUGAUCCGCCACACUGGAACUGAGACACGGUCCAGACUCCUACGGGAGGCAGCAGUGGGGAAUUUUGGACAAUGGGGGCAACCCUGAUCCAGCCAUGCCGCGUGAGUGAAGAAGGCCUUCGGGUUGUAAAGCUCUUUCAGCCGGGAAGAAAUCACAUGGGUUAAUACCCUGUGUGGAUGACGGUACCGGAAUAAGAAGCACCGGCUAACUACGUGCCAGCAGCCGCGGUAAUACGUAGGGUGCGAGCGUUAAUCGGAAUUACUGGGCGUAAAGCGUGCGCAGGCGGUUUGUUAAGAUAGGCGUGAAAUCCCCGGGCUCAACCUGGGAACUGCGUUUAUGACUGGCAGGCUAGAGUAUGGCAGAGGGGGGUGGAAUUCCACGUGUAGCAGUGAAAUGCGUAGAGAUGUGGAGGAACACCGAUGGCGAAGGCAGCCCCCUGGGCCAAUACUGACGCUCAUGCACGAAAGCGUGGGUAGCAAACAGGAUUAGAUACCCUGGUAGUCCACGCCCUAAACGAUGUCAACUAGGUGUUGGGUGGGUAAAACCAUUUAGUACCGGAGCUAACGCGUGAAGUUGACCGCCUGGGGAGUACGGCCGCAAGGUUAAAACUCAAAGGAAUUGACGGGGACCCGCACAAGCGGUGGAUGAUGUGGAUUAAUUCGAUGCAACGCGAAAAACCUUACCUACCCUUGACAUGUCCAGAAGCUCUUAGAGAUUUGAGUGUGCCCGAAAGGGAACUGGAACACAGGUGCUGCAUGGCUGUCGUCAGCUCGUGUCGUGAGAUGUUGGGUUAAGUCCCGCAACGAGCGCAACCCUUGUCGUUAAUUGCCAUCAUUCAGUUGGGCACUUUAACGAGACUGCCGGUGACAAACCGGAGGAAGGUGGGGAUGACGUCAAGUCCUCAUGGCCCUUAUGGGUAGGGCUUCACACGUCAUACAAUGGUCGGUACAAAGGGUUGCCAACCCGCGAGGGGGAGCUAAUCCCAGAAAGCCGAUCGUAGUCCGGAUCGUAGGCUGCAACUCGCCUGCGUGAAGUCGGAAUCGCUAGUAAUCGUGGAUCAGCAUGUCACGGUGAAUACGUUCCCGGGUCUUGUACACACCGCCCGUCACACCAUGGGAGCGGGUUCCGCCAGAAGUAGGUAGCCUAACCGCAAGGAGGGCG
RNAcentral lists this ribosomal RNA (1367 nucleotides) under Ferribacterium sp. 24-19. RNAcentral describes it as "16S ribosomal RNA". It matches the Rfam family "Bacterial small subunit ribosomal RNA", at positions 90 to 1452 of the family's 1533-position model. Lineage: Bacteria; Pseudomonadati; Pseudomonadota; Betaproteobacteria; Rhodocyclales; Azonexaceae. The record is from RNAcentral.